Molecule: non-coding RNA, 732 nt
Organism: Biomphalaria pfeifferi
Lineage: Eukaryota; Metazoa; Mollusca; Gastropoda; Planorbidae
Source: the annotation of a GenBank genome assembly
GUAAUUAUUGAUCAACUUUUAUUAACAGUUUACAAACUUUUAGACAAAAAUAUAAUUAAAACUUCUUUUUAUUCAUUCUGUUGGCUCACAGAAAUGCAGUUAAAAAAAAAGAUUAACAAAACAUUCAUAUUAAACUGCUAUAAUUUUGGCUGCGACUAGACUGAAAGGCUGGUGACAAUAUUUCCCAUCUAAUGAAAUAAUUAUGGCUGUUACAAUAAAAAAAAAAUAGUGAAAAUCUACAUGUAUGUUAGCUACAUUUUAUACAUUAGACUGAAAAUGUAACAAAGUAAAUAUUUGUACGCAACCGGGAUAUCUAGAUAUAUAUUUUUAAGUGUCAUUUCAUUUGAAAACCACUAUCAGCUGACACACUAGUAAUACUUUUUUGUUUUACUGCUACAGUAUCAUACAGAACUGUGUAUCUAUGUAAACAACAUCUAGCCUUUAAUAAUUAGGAGAUGAUGCAGAUUUUAUGCACUACCACCUACUUCAUUAGAAGGUCAAUAGCGGCAAAAGAGCUCCAUGUUUUGGUAGAACUCUUGUAAAAGUUAAAUUUAUGUUUGAAUAUAUAGAAAUGGAAAUUUAUCACACAUCAAGACACAUUCACACAGGACACUCAAAAAAGUAAUAUUUACUUCUGAUAUGCUCUAUGCUUUAGUUUUCUUUUUGACAAAUAUAAAGAAUUGUUAAGCCACAGUUGGAAGUACAUUAAUGAUGUAAAAAAAAAAAAAAAAA